This 136-nucleotide small RNA is filed under the name Salmonella enterica. Its description in RNAcentral is "RtT sRNA". It matches the Rfam family "RtT RNA". Rfam says of the family: This family represents a bacterial cis-regulatory element known as RtT RNA. The record is from RNAcentral. Lineage: Bacteria; Pseudomonadati; Pseudomonadota; Gammaproteobacteria; Enterobacterales; Enterobacteriaceae. RNAcentral also lists the same sequence under 1 other name.
UAUCCCUCAAACUAAGGGGGGAUGAGAACCACCGACCGGGGUUCGACAACUGGCGCAGCCAGUUGGACAGACGACGAGCUUGCGAGGAGACUGCCCGAAGGGCGAGCGCAGCGAGUCAAUCCCCCCCUCACCGCCA